Molecule: unclassified non-coding RNA, 508 nt
Filed under: Hevea brasiliensis (rubber tree)
Lineage: Eukaryota; Viridiplantae; Streptophyta; Magnoliopsida; Malpighiales; Euphorbiaceae
Source: RNAcentral
UAUAUCCGCCUUCGCCAGAAAGGGGGACCAAAUUACUGAAACGGUGAAGUUGUACGAGGGGAAUAACCAUCUCCUGGAUCGGUACUCCUUAUCAUGGUAUACUUCAACAGCUUCGUCUACCUUUGAGAGUACGCAAAGAAAUGAUUGGACAUGGUUCCUUGAUAUUGAAUCACCAAUUAAUGCCCAUGUUUUAUUUCUCAUAAAUUGAAGAAACUUAAGUGGAUUGAACCGAGGUAACUUGCAAUUUCGUGGAUUCCACCUCCAGUAAAGAUAACCAUUAUCCGGUCGGCCAUUCUUCAUACAAUUCUGAUGGUCUUCAAUAAAUUUGCAUGUCUCAUCCGUGUAAACAGGACCAUCUGGAUCAGGAAUCCAAUCUCCAAUGAAAAGAUUACACGUACCUGCUUGUUCUUCAGGACCAAUCUGAUCUGCAACUUCAGGCAAACUGAAAGAAACAGGAGGCGGUGAAAAUAGAGUUUUUUGAACAAAAGGGGUUUCUUGAACUUCAGAA